Molecule: long non-coding RNA, 310 nt
Organism: Phyllostomus hastatus (greater spear-nosed bat)
Lineage: Eukaryota; Metazoa; Chordata; Mammalia; Chiroptera; Phyllostomidae
Exons: 3
Source: RefSeq, a predicted model, not a curated record
GAGGAAAUAAAAGGCAUCCAAAUUGGAAAGAAAAGUGAAACUGUCAUUAUGUGCAGAAUCACAGAAGGACCGCCUGAGUAGCCAUAGCAAUCUUGAGAAAGAAGAACAAGGUUGGAGGUAUCACACUACCUGAUAUCAAAUGUACUACAAGCCUAUAGUAAUCCAAGCAACAUGGCUCUGGCUUAAACACAGACAAAUCAGUGGAACAGAAGAGAAGGCCCAGAAAUAAACCCACAAGUAUAGGGUCAAUUAAUGACAAAGGAGAGCCCUGGAUGACAGAUACAUCAUUGUCAUGAAGUCUAGUCUCAGG